CAGGUAGUUGGUGGGGUAACGGCCUACCAAGCCUUCGAUCCGUAGCUGGUCUGAGAGGAUGAUCAGCCACACUGGGACUGAGAUACGGCCCAGACUCCUACGGGAGGCAGCAGUGGGGAAUAUUGGACAAUGGGGGCAACCCUGAUCCAGCAAUGCCGCGUGGAUGAUGAAGGCCUUCGGGUUGUAAAGUCCUUUCGGCGGGGAAGAUGAUGACGGUACCCGCAGAAGAAGCCCCGGCUAACUUCGUGCCAGCAGCCGCGGUAAUACGAAGGGGGCUAGCGUUGUUCGGAAUUACUGGGCGUAAAGGGCGCGUAGGCUGUGCUGUAAGUCAGGCGUGAAAGCCCCGGGCUCAACCUGGGAAUUGCGCUUGAUACUGCGGCGCUGGAAGGUGGGAGAGGAUGGCGGAAUUCCCAGUGUAGAGGUGAAAUUCGUAGAUAUUGGGAAGAACACCGGUGGCGAAGGCGGCCAUCUGGCCCACAUUUGACGCUGAGGCGCGAAAGCGUGGGGAGCAAACAGGAUUAGAUACCCUGGUAGUCCACGCUGUAAACGAUGAGUGCUAGACGUCGGGGAGCUUGCUCUUCGGUGUCGCCGCUAACGCAUUAAGCACUCCGCCUGGGGAGUACGGUCGCAAGAUUAAAACUCAAAGGAAUUGACGG
This 656-nucleotide ribosomal RNA is filed under the name uncultured Alphaproteobacteria bacterium. Its description in RNAcentral is "SSU rRNA". It matches the Rfam family "Bacterial small subunit ribosomal RNA", at positions 242 to 916 of the family's 1533-position model. Lineage: Bacteria; Pseudomonadati; Pseudomonadota; Alphaproteobacteria. The record is from RNAcentral.